This 3255-nucleotide ribosomal RNA is filed under the name Triticum aestivum (bread wheat). RNAcentral's name for it is "partial small subunit ribosomal RNA". Lineage: Eukaryota; Viridiplantae; Streptophyta; Magnoliopsida; Poales; Poaceae. The record is from RNAcentral.
AUGGCGGACGGGGGGCCGCCGCACGCGCACGGGCAGAUGGUCCGCAGGCUGGCGGUGGAGGUGGUGGACGCGCGGGACCUGGUGCCCAAGGACGGGCUCGGCACCUCCAGCGCCUACGCGGUGGCCGACUUCGACGGACAGCGCAAGCGCACGCGGACCGUGCCGCGGGACCUCAACCCGCAGUGGCACGAGCGCCUCGAGUUCGCCGUGCCCGACCCGGCCGCCAUGCACGCCGAGUCGCUCGACGUCUCGCUCUACCACGACCGCCGCUUCAACCCCUCCGGCGGGGGCGCCGGGGGCGGCAAGAACCACUUCCUCGGCCGCGUCCGCAUCUACGGCUCCCAGUUCUCGCGCCGCGGCGAGGAGGGCAUUGUCUACUUCCCGCUCGAGAAGCGCAGCCUGCUCAGCUGGAUCCGCGGCGAGGUCGGCCUCAAGAUCUACUACUACGACGAGCCGGCCGUGCCGCCCCCGCCGCCGCCGGAGGACCGGCCGCCCGAGGGGGCUGACAACGCGCCGCCGCCCGAGGUCCCGCCGGAACAGCCCAGGGAGCUCCCACCUGAGCUCCCAGAGCCGACGGAGGCCGCCGUGGAGGUGCAGCAGCCGCAGGCGCAGCCUCCGGUCAUCAUCGUGGAGGAAGCUCCCAUGCACGGGCCACACGGUCCCAUAAUGCCGCCGCCCAUGAUGCACGGCCACAUGAUGCCGCCGCCGAUGCAUGGGCCACACGGCCCGAUGAUGCAUGGUCCGCACGGUCCCAUGAUGCACGCCCGGAUGAUGCCACCGCAGCCAGAGCCUGAGCCGGAGCCGCAGCCGCAGCGUGAACCAGGGCCGGGGCCCGACGGGGCAGAAAUGCACCCGCCUGAGCUCCGCAAGGAACGGAUGGCGUCGACCAACGGGCAUGUCCGCGUCCCCCGACACCCGAGCGGCGGCUUCGGGCCUGAUUACUACACGGCCGCCUCUCCCCGCGUCAUCUCCGGGCGGUUCGCGUCCGCCGGCGAGGCCGUCGAGCCGGUGCAGUCGACGUACGACCUGGUGGAGCCGAUGCGAUACCUCUUCGUGCGCAUCGUGCGGGUGCGCGGCAUCCGCGCCUGCGAGGGCCCCUACGUCAAGAUCCAAGCCGGCCCGCACUGCCUCCGCUCCCGGCCGGGCCGCGACGUCUCCGGCACCGGCAGCCCCGAGUGGAACCAGGUGUUCGCCGUCAGCCAUGCGAAGCCGGAGCCGACUCUCGAGAUAUCCGUCUGGGACGGCGGGGCGCCAUCUCCGGCGGACGCCUUCCUCGGCGGAGUGUGCUUCGAUCUCUCCGACGUGCCCGUCCGCGACCAGCCGGACGGACCGCUGGCGGCGCAGUGGUACCGGCUCGAGGGCGGCGAGCCGGGCAUGGUCACAGGGGACAUCAUGGUGUCGGUGUGGAUCGGCACGCAGGCCGACGACGUGUUCCCGGAGGCCUGGAACACCGACGCGCCCUACGCCGCCUACACCCGCGCCAAGGUGUACCAGUCGCCCAAGCUGUGGUACCUGCGGGCGUCGAUCAUCGAGGCGCAGGACCUGCGCGUGCCGACGCCGCCGCCGGGGCUGCCGUUCGACGUGCGCGUCAAGGUCCAGCUCGGCUUCCAGUCGGCGCGCACCCGCCGGUCGGUGGCCAGCAGCAGCGGCUCGGCGUUCGCGUGGUCCGAGGACCUCAUGUUCGUCGCGUCCGAGCCGCUGGACGACACCCUCGUCCUGCUCGUGGAGGACCGGUCGAUGAUCAAGGAGCCUGCUCUGCUCGGCCACGCCACCAUCCCCGUGAGCUCCGUCGAGCAGCGCCUCGACGAGCGGCAGAUCGUCGCGUCAAGAUGGUUCAAUCUCGAGGGCGGCAUGGGUCAUGGAGACAGCGGGGAUCAGCAGGGACAAGCACCUCCAGGGUUCUACUCGGGCAGGCUGCACCUUCGACUCUCGCUGGAGGGAGGAUACCACGUGCUCGACGAGGCGGCGCACGUGUGCAGCGACUACCGGCCGACGGCGAAGCAGCUGUGGAAGCCGCCGGUGGGCGUGCUGGAGCUCGGCAUCGUCGGAGCGUGCGGCCUGCUCCCCAUGAAGACGAAAGGAGGGUCCAAGGGCUCCACGGACGCCUACUGCGUGGCCAAGUACGGCAAGAAGUGGGUGCGCACGCGCACCGUCACCGACACCUUCAACCCGCGCUGGAACGAGCAGUACACGUGGCAGGUGUACGACCCGUGCACGGUGCUCACCGUCGCCGUCUUCGACAACUGGCGCAUGUUCGCCGGCGCCGGCGACGAGCGCCAGGACUACCGCAUCGGCAAGGUGCGCGUGCGCGUCUCCACGCUCGAGACCAACCGCGCCUACACCGCGUCCUACCCGCUGCUCGUGCUGCUGCGCCCGGGGCUCAAGAAGAUGGGCGAGGUGCAGCUCGCCGUGCGCUUCUCGUCGCCGGCGCACCUCCCCGACACCUGGGCCACCUACACCUCGCCGCUCCUGCCGCGCAUGCACUACCUCCGCCCCAUCGGCGUCGCGCAGCAGGAGGCGCUGCGGGGCGCGGCCGUGCGCACCGUGGCAGCAUGGCUGGCGCGCUCCGAGCCGCCGCUCGGGCCGGAGGUGGUGCGCUACAUGCUGGACGCGGACGCGCACACCUGGAGCGUGCGCCGCGCCAAGGCCAACUGGUUCCGCAUCAUGGGGGUGCUCGCCUGGGCCGUCGGGCUGGAGCGGUGGCUCGACGGCGUGCGGCGCUGGCGCAACCCCUCCACCACCGUCCUCCUCCACGUCCUCUACCUCGUCCUCGUCUGGUACCCCGAGCUGGUGGUGCCCACCGCGUCGCUCUACGUCUUCCUCAUCGGCGUCUGGUACUACCGGUUCCGGCCGCGGGCGCCGGCCGGCAUGGACGCGCGGCUGUCGCAGGCCGACACCGUGGACGGCGACGAGCUGGAGGAGGAGUUCGACGCCGUCCCGGCGCCCGACGUCCUCCGGCUACGGUACGAGAGGCUGCGCACGCUGGCCGGGCGGGUGCAGCGCGUCAUGGGCGACGUCGCGGCGCAGGGCGAGCGGCUGCAGGCGCUGGUGAGCUGGAGGGACCCGCGGGCGAGCCGGAUCUUCGUCGGCGUCUGCCUGGCCGUCGCCGUGGCGCUGUACGCGAUGCCGCCCAAGAUGGUGGCCGUGGCGAGCGGGUUCUACUACCUCCGCCACCCCAUGUUCCGGGACCCGAUGCCCGCCGCGGCCGUCAACUUCUUCCGCCGCCUGCCCAGCCUCUCUGACAGGAUGCUAUGA